CGGACGGGUGAGUAACGCGUGAGAAUCUGCCCUCAGGAGGGGGAUAACGGCUGGAAACGGCCGCUAAUACCCCAUAUGCCGAGAGGUGAAAUGAAUUUCGCCUGAGGAUGAGCCCGCGUCUGAUUAGCUAGUUGGUGGGGUAAGAGCCUACCAAGGCGACGAUCAGUAGCUGGUCUGAGAGGAUGAUCAGCCACACUGGGACUGAGACACGGCCCAAACUCCUACGGGAGGCAGCAGUGGGGAAUUUUCCGCAAUGGGCGAAAGCCUGACGGAGCAACGCCGCGUGAGGGACGAAGGCCUCUGGGCUGUAAACCUCUUUUCUCAAGGAAGAAGAUCUGACGGUACUUGAGGAAUAAGCCACGGCUAAUUCCGUGCCAGCAGCCGCGGUAAUACGGGAGUGGCAAGCGUUAUCCGGAAUUAUUGGGCGUAAAGCGUCCGCAGGCGGCUUUGUAAGUCUGCUGUCAAAGCGUGGAGCUUAACUCCAUUUCGGCAGUGGAAACUACGAGGCUUGAGUGUGGUAGGGGCAGAGGGAAUUCCCGGUGUAGCGGUGAAAUGCGUAGAUAUCGGGAAGAACACCAGUGGCGAAGGCGCUCUGCUGGGCCAUAACUGACGCUCAUGGACGAAAGCCAGGGGAGCGAAAGGGAUUAGAUACCCCUGUAGUC
Molecule: ribosomal RNA, 662 nt
Filed under: uncultured Cyanobacterium sp.
Lineage: Bacteria; Bacillati; Cyanobacteriota; Cyanophyceae; Chroococcales; Geminocystaceae
Description: bacterial SSU rRNA
Rfam family: Bacterial small subunit ribosomal RNA
Source: RNAcentral